RNAcentral lists this unclassified non-coding RNA (253 nucleotides) under uncultured bacterium. RNAcentral's name for it is "contains 16S-23S intergenic spacer region". It matches the Rfam family "Bacterial small subunit ribosomal RNA", at positions 524 to 776 of the family's 1533-position model. The record is from RNAcentral.
UAAAGAGGGUGCGAGCGGUAAUCGGAUUUAUUAGGCGUAAAGCGUGCGUAGGCGGCUUUUUAAGUCGGAUGUGAAAUCCCCGAGCUUAAGUUGGGAAUUGCAUUCGAUACUGGGAAGCUAGAGUAUGGGAGAGGGUGGUAGAAUUACCGGUGUAGCGGUGAAAUGCGUAGAGAUCUGGAGGAAUACCGAUGGCGAAGGCAGCCAUCUGGCCUAAUACUGACGCUGAGGUACGAAAGCAUGGGGAGCAAACAGG